This is a non-coding RNA of Obba rivulosa, 77 nucleotides long. Lineage: Eukaryota; Fungi; Basidiomycota; Agaricomycetes; Polyporales; Gelatoporiaceae. The record is from the annotation of a GenBank genome assembly.
UCCGAUAUGGUGUAACGGCUAACAUUACCGCCUUUCAGAGUUCGCGGUAGCUCGGGGUUCGAUUCCCCGUAUCGGAG